Molecule: unclassified non-coding RNA, 817 nt
Filed under: Hevea brasiliensis (rubber tree)
Lineage: Eukaryota; Viridiplantae; Streptophyta; Magnoliopsida; Malpighiales; Euphorbiaceae
Source: RNAcentral
GAUUAUGGUUCUUCUGAAGGAUGGAUUGGUGCAAAUGUCAAUCCCAAGUUACCUCCUGAGCUAGUUACUUAUGCAGUGCUUCCUAAUAUCGGUUAUUUCGAAUUCAUUCCUCUCAGGGUAAACUUAGAUGGCCUUGAGCCUACACCAGUGGGUCUUGCUGAAGUUAAACUAGGUGAAGAGUAUGAAAUUGUUGUCACCAACUUUGCAGGGUUGUAUCGUUACAGGCUCGGUGAUGUCGUGAAAAUAAAAGGAUUCCACAAUGCCACACCAGAACUCCAGUUUAUUUGUCGUAGCAAUCUUAUACUAAGCAUAAACAUUGACAAGAGCACUGAGAAAGACUUACAGCUAGCUGUAGAAGCAGCAGCCAGGCUCUUAGUAGACGAAAAACUAGAGGUAGUUGAUUUCACUAGCCACGCGAAUGUUGCAACUGAUCCAGGACACUACGUGGUUUUCUGGGAACUCAGUGGUGAAGCAAGUGAUGAAACAUUGCAAGAAUGCUGCAAUUGUUUGGACAAAUCGUUUGUAGAUGCAGGGUACGUGGGGUCUCGGAAGGUCAAUGUAAUUGGAGCACUUGAGCUUAGAGUUGUGAAGAAGGGGACAUUUCAUAAGAUAUUAGAUCAUUUUGUAGGCUUAGGAGGUGCUGUUAGCCAGUUCAAGACUCCAAGAUGUGUUGGUCAAAACAACAGCAGACUGCUACAGAUACUAUGUUAUGAUGUUGUCAAGAGCUAUUUUAGUACUGCCUACUAAUGAUGUUGAACUUGGAUGUAUCAUUAAUAAUUGUACAAAAUUGAAAAGUUGUAUGAAGAAGUGGAUGCAU